This 164-nucleotide long non-coding RNA is filed under the name Cavia porcellus (domestic guinea pig). RNAcentral's name for it is "lncRNA (ENSCPOG00000038385.1)". Lineage: Eukaryota; Metazoa; Chordata; Mammalia; Rodentia; Caviidae. The record is from RNAcentral.
AGCGAGUGAUGUCAAGUAAAGGAGUAAAUGGAGAGUCCCAGAAGGAUAAUGGAGUUUGCUUUCCGGAACAUACGAGUGCUCUUGGGAGCCAGGAAUCUAUUCUUCUAAGUGCCCCUGAAAUACUGGCCCAGCUUCUUCAUGGAGUGGCACGGGGCAGAAUUGCU